RNAcentral lists this ribosomal RNA (253 nucleotides) under uncultured bacterium. Its description in RNAcentral is "partial 16S ribosomal RNA". It matches the Rfam family "Archaeal small subunit ribosomal RNA", at positions 474 to 727 of the family's 1478-position model. The record is from RNAcentral.
UACCAGCACCCCGAGUGGUCGGGGCGAUUAUUGGGCCUAAAGCAUCCGUAGCCGGUCCUACAAGUCUUCCGUUAAAUCCACCUGCUCAACAGAUGGGCUGCGGAAGAUACUAUAGGGCUAGGAGGCGGGAGAGGCAAGCGGUACUCAGUGGGUAGGGGUAAAAUCCUCUGAUCCAUUGAAGACCACCAGUGGCGAAGGCGGCUUGCCAGAACGCGCUCGACGGUGAGGGAUGAAAGCUGGGGGAGCAAACCGG